Non-coding RNA from Coffea arabica (coffee), 1746 nucleotides. The record is from RefSeq and is a predicted model, not a curated record. Lineage: Eukaryota; Viridiplantae; Streptophyta; Magnoliopsida; Gentianales; Rubiaceae.
CACUCGAUCGAUCUGGUCACUCUCUCUUACCUUCGCUUCUCGAUUCUCUCUCCUCUCCUUUUAUCUACCUGCCAGUCUAUGGCCGUCUUUCCAUAUUCAUCAUCAUCUCCUGCUACGACAAAAACCCCACCUCACACGGCAUUCAGAGACUGAAACAACUCCAUCAACCCUCUUUUAUCUUCUUAGCCUUAUGGGAUUGCAUGCAUGAAAGGGAUCCAAAACCUGUUUGCUCAUGAUCUAGUCAGAUUACAGCAGAGUAAAUAUCAAAACUAUGCGGGAAAAAUCAGGCACAUUUGACAAACUGGAGUCCGCUGUGAAAAGCAUUUCACAUGCAUCAACUGAUUCACGGAGUUAUUUGAGUGGUUUCGAAAAUAACAGUAGUGUCUCCACAGAAGUAUUAGUGUUUGGUAAUAGCAGAUCAAGUCUAACCUUGCCUAGCCAACAAAAUGCUGGACUGGUGACAACAUCUAAUGAAUUAGAAGCAAAGUUUUUGGAGAGAAGUGGAGGUGAAAUAUACAGAGAAGUGGAAACUGCAAAGUUCCUAGAAUCAGUUAAAGCGAACGUCUUGGAACAACCAAUGUCUUACCAUUCCAAGGCUCCUCUUGGACCAAAAUAGUGCACAAGAACUUCUCAAAUUCUCAAGUAUAGCUUCUCCGACGAUGAGCGAACAUCUAAUACCAGUUACUCAACUGAAACUUAAUCAUCUUUUUGGGGUAAUUCGCCUGAUCAUGGUCAAACUUGGCAUAGGGGCACGCUGUAUGGAAUUUCUGAUGUGGAGCUGAGUGGGGAGAUUGAUUCAGUUAUCUUCCUUCUGUUGUUUGAUCUGUUUGCGAGGAGUAUAACACAAAGACUUUCCAGUUUCAGAGACAGCUUAGUUCAGCACAAACUUUUCUUUUUGUCCUAAUGUAAUGUUUUACAUAAUAUUUUGUGUUUUAGGUGCAUCCAGACUUGCAAAGUAUGCACGACUCUAGGUUGGCAUUGCCUCUUGAAUUGGCGGAGGAACCAGUGUAUGUGAACGCGAAACAAUACCAUGGGAUUUUAAGGCGAAGACAACUGCGUGCAAAGGCUGAGUUGGAAAAUAAGGUGGCGAAAGCUAGAAAGCCGUAUCUUCAUGAAUCUCGACACUUGCAUGCUAUGAGAAGAGCCAGAGGUUGCGGAGGCAGGUUCCUGAGCAAAAAGAAUGUUGAUAAAUCAGAUAGCCGUGCUGCUUCCAAGAAGAGCAUCGAUUUUAAUGCUACGCCCACAGAGAUGAAGGAUUCACUUGGUUCUCAGCAUCCCUUUUCCAGCACUUCUCAGAAGAGCUGUAACGAAGUGAAGGGGUUUCUGCUCCAAGAAAUGCAGAACACAAACACUUUUGAAUGGGGAUAUCAAUACCAUUGUAAAACUCAAUAACUACCAAUAGGGACUUCCAGGUAGCCAUCGGACUGGAAAGUUGGGAUGGAGAAAUUCCUCACCACUGCUAAAAAGUGUCUUUUAGCUUGAUACAGUGUUGAUAGCUUGUAAAGUUGUGUGUGAUACUGUGACACAUUCUGCAGCUGUGAAACGGGCGUUUCUAUAAGAGGGAUGGAUUGUUCUUACGAGCAAAAUUUUGGUCUGAGAGUUUCGGUUGUACAGUUAACGUAUUUCUGGUGGCAUAUGAACCAAUUACUGAUGUAUUUAGCAGUAUGGCUGCAGCUGCUUAGCUAUCAAAACAAUCUUAUGACACUAUAAUUUUUAGCCUAAAAUGCACUUCUUGUUUAAGGCCAA